Molecule: ribosomal RNA, 821 nt
Filed under: uncultured Meniscus sp.
Lineage: Bacteria; Pseudomonadati; Bacteroidota; Bacteroidia; Marinilabiliales; Prolixibacteraceae
Description: bacterial SSU rRNA
Rfam family: Bacterial small subunit ribosomal RNA
Source: RNAcentral
GAGGGGCAUCACGAGGUAGCAAUACUUUGGUGGCGACCGGCGCACGGGUGAGUAACACGUAUGCAACCUACCCUGUACAGGGGGAUAACCCGGAGAAAUUCGGACUAAUAUCCCAUGCAAUUAUUGGAGGGCAUCCUUUGAUAAUUAAAGCUCAGGCGGUAUAGGAUGGGCAUGCGGAACAUUAGCUAGUUGGUAGGGUAACGGCCUACCAAGGCUACGAUGUUUAGGGGACCUGAGAGGGUUAUCCCCCACACUGGUACUGAGACACGGACCAGACUCCUACGGGAGGCAGCAGUGAGGAAUAUUGGUCAAUGGGCGCAAGCCUGAACCAGCCAUCCCGCGUGAAGGAAGAAGGCCCUAUGGGUUGUAAACUUCUUUUCCAGGGGGUGAAUAAUUCCGAUGUAUCGGGAGAUGACGGUACCCUGGGAAUAAGCAUCGGCUAACUCCGUGCCAGCAGCCGCGGUAAUACGGAGGAUGCGAGCGUUAUCCGGAUUUAUUGGGUUUAAAGGGUGCGUAGGCGGAACAAUAAGUCAGUGGUGAAAGACUGCAGCUUAACUGUAGACUUGCCGUUGAUACUGUUGAUCUUGAGUAUGGUCAAGGCAGGCGGAAUGUGUAAUGUAGCGGUGAAAUGCUUAGAUAUUACACAGAACACCGAUUGCGAAGGCAGCUUGCUGGGCCAUUACUGACGCUGAUGCACGAAAGCGUGGGGAUCGAACAGGAUUAGAUACCCUGGUAGUCCACGCAGUAAACGAUGAUCACUCGCUGUUGGCGAUACACAGUCAGCGGCUAAGCAAAAGCAUUAAGUGAUCCACCUGGGGAGU